RNAcentral lists this ribosomal RNA (1264 nucleotides) under Abscondita chinensis. RNAcentral's name for it is "16S ribosomal RNA". The stretch from base 838 to 1198 matches the Rfam family "Archaeal large subunit ribosomal RNA", at positions 2150 to 2716 of the family's 2987-position model. The record is from RNAcentral. Lineage: Eukaryota; Metazoa; Arthropoda; Insecta; Coleoptera; Lampyridae.
GAUUAUAAAUUUAAUUAUUAUUAUUGAUUUUUUAAAGUAUUAUUUUAUUUAUUAUUAUAAAAGAAAAAUUUUUUUUUAUUAUAGUUUACUAGUAAAGUGAUUGAAUUUAUUUAUAUAUUAAUAAGAAAAAUUUAUUUUUUGUACCUUGUGUAUCAGGGUUGAUUAAUUUUAUAAUUAUUAUUAAUUUUUCUCGAAUUAAGAAGAGCUAAUUAUGUAUAUGUUUAAUUUUUUCAUAAAUUUUCAUAAUAUAUAAUUUGAAAUGAAAUGUUAUUCGUUUCUUAAUAUAUCUAGUUUUUUAAGAAAAGAAUUUAAUUCUCUUAUUAUUUAUUAUUAGUUAAUUUUUAGUUAAUAAUUUUUAGUAUGAAAUAAAUAAAGGGAUAAGCUUUUAUUUUGAUAAUUAAAAAUUUAUUUGGUUUUAUUUUUUGUAUAAUUUAAAUUGUUAAUCAUUUUUAUAAUAUAAUAGUUAAUUUUAUUUAAUUAAUGAUUUAUAUUUAUUUUAAUUUUUUUAUUAAAAAUUUAUGUUUAAUUUUUUAGCUUUUUUAUAAUGAUUAAAUUAGUAGAUAAAUAUGUAUUUAUUAUUUAUUUUUUAAGAUAAUAAAAAGGAACUUGGCAAAUAAAUUUUUCGCCUGUUUAUUAAAAACAUGUCUUUUUGAUUAUAAUUUAAGGUUUAAUCUGCUCAAUGAUUUAUUAAAUUGCCGCAGUAUUUUGACUGUGCAAAGGUAGCAUAAUAAUUAGCUUUUUUAUUGAAAGCUGGAAUGAAUGAUUGGACGAAAAAAUUUCUGUCUCUUUAUUAUUUAUUACUUAAUUUUACUUUUAAGUUAAAAGGCUUAAAUUUUUUUAAAAGACGAGAAGACCCUAUAGAGUUUUAUUUUUGUUUUUUGAUUGAUUUUUAGAAUUUAAAAUAUUUUAUCCAAUAAAAAAUUUAGUUGGGGUGACUUAAAGAUUAAUUAAACUCUUUUAAUUGAAAUCAUUUAUUUAUGAAUAAAGAAAUUAUUUUUAUAAAUUUAAAAUAAAUUACCUUAGGGAUAACAGCGUUAUUUUUCCUUAGAGUUCUUAUUGAAAGGAAAGCUUGCGACCUCGAUGUUGGCUUAAAAUUUAUUUUUGGUGCAGAAGCUGAAAUAUUAAGUCUGUUCGACUUUUAAAAUUUUACAUGAUCUGAGUUUAAACCGGUGUAAGCCAGGUUGGUUUCUAUCUUUAAAUUUUUAAUAUAUUUUAGUACGAAAGGACCAAAUAUAUAAUAUAUUAUUUUAUUUUGAAUAAUAUU